GAUCAUGGCUCAGAACGAACGCUGGCGGCAGGCCUAACACAUGCAAGUCGAACGCUCGUAGCAAUACGAGAGUGGCAGACGGGUGAGUAACGCGUGGGAACCUUCCCAGUGGUACGGAAUAGCUCAGGGAAACUUGAGGUAAUACCGUAUACGCCCCUAGGGGGAAAGAUUUAUCGCCAUUGGAUGGGCCCGCGUCGGAUUAGCUAGUUGGUGAGGUAACGGCUCACCAAGGCGACGAUCCGUAGCUGGUUUGAGAGAAUGACCAGCCACACUGGGACUGAGACACGGCCCAGACUCCUACGGGAGGCAGCAGUGGGGAAUCUUGGACAAUGGGCGAAAGCCUGAAUCCAGCCAUGCCGCGUGAGUGACGAAGGCCUUAGGGUUGUAAAGCUCUUUUGGCGGGGACGAUAAUGACGGUACCCGCAGAAUAAGUCCCGGCUAACUUCGUGCCAGCAGCCGC
RNAcentral lists this ribosomal RNA (460 nucleotides) under uncultured bacterium. Its description in RNAcentral is "bacterial SSU rRNA". It matches the Rfam family "Bacterial small subunit ribosomal RNA", at positions 15 to 518 of the family's 1533-position model. The record is from RNAcentral.